This 2890-nucleotide long non-coding RNA is filed under the name Camelus dromedarius (Arabian camel). RNAcentral describes it as "lncRNA (ENSCDRG00005019312.1)". The record is from RNAcentral. Lineage: Eukaryota; Metazoa; Chordata; Mammalia; Artiodactyla; Camelidae.
GUAGUAUUUUGGAUUUAUGUGGUUAAAUAAAGCAUAUUUCAUAAAUUGAUUUGUGUUACUCACACCACCCAUUUCUUUUCGCAUUUUCUGCAUGGCUGCUGGGAACGGAGCGGACUGUGCGGCUGGAACUGUAUUGCAGCUGUGGGGAGGCUCUGGCCUUGCACUGGCUUGUGCCGGACGCGGAGGUCCAGCUUGGUUCGGCCCCGCAUGCUGCAGCCACGAACGCAGGGACGUUCCGGCUCCCGCUCCGGCUGCGAUCAGCGACACCGACUCGGAGGCCGCCGCCGCCGCCGCCGCCCACGACUAUUGGCAUCCCCCGCGGCCACCGCGCUGCCGGACUGCACCUCCCGGCAUGCCGCGGGAGCCGGGGCGACCGCCGGGGCCGCGUGUCCCACAAGGCCGCGCGCGGCGCAGGGCCUCGCUAGCCCCGACCCUCGAGUCGCUGGCGAGGGCGCCCGACCUAAGGGGCGCACUCGGCUUCUGAGGCAGGAGCUCCUGCCUUCGCGUAUUUUAGGGCGAAUGACGGAGGCGUCGUGCCUCUUUAGGUCCAGUUCUGCUGCGUGGGCAUUGCCGGGGCCGGGCGAGGACGCCUGAGGCCGGGGAGGCGGCGACCGUCGACGCAGGAGGCGCCCGCUGGGUGCUCGAAGGAGCGAGGUGGGGACCGUGGCUUGGGUGAGGGCUGCGGGCGCGUCUGGAGUUGCGGGGGGCGGGGUCGUGCGCUCGGAUGGAGUCGCGUGCCAGGCGGCCAGGCUCCUGUCGUCUGCCCAGGGCCGAGGUGCCCGGGCCGUGAGUGCUUUAUCUCGUGUGGGAGGCUGGGUCCGGGGGCCGGCGUAAUGGUGCUAGAGGCCAUGGUCGUGCUGAGGGUCGUUUAGUCGCCAGAGCCCUGAUGAGGGUCUUUCCCUAAUUUAAGAAAUAGUUACUGAGGGCCCACUAGUUGUCAAGUGUUGCUCUCGGUGCCCGGGUGACCGCAGAGACCAGGGAGCUUCCAUUCUCGUGGGGGUAGGGGUGGGGUGGGGAGAGUGGGGACCGGGGAGCAUAAAUGUUAGGUAAACAGGCAGCAGUGUGCUGGCUCUCCAGGGCAAAAAGCUGUGCUUUGUAGCACAUGCUGACUCCUGGGGUGUAAGUACUCCCCUCAUGGCUAGUUUCAAGCUGCCAACGCGACGUCAUCCAGCUUACAAAACUCCUGCAGACUUAAGGGUCAGCUCUUGUAAGCUCCAGCCACUGCGCAGGGGGUCGAAGGUAUACUCUAUUUGCGGGUGAUAAAUGCUGUGGGGAGAAGAGAAAAUGAGAUGGAAGGAGCCUGGCAGUGUGGAAGUAGCGGGGCAGGUUGUAGGAGUAAGUUGGGUGGCCAGGGGGAGAUGUGUUCAGAGGGGGAGGUCUGAGCAGAGACUUGGAGGAAGUGGAGAGAGUUAGCAAGCGUCUAUACCAGGUAGAAAGUACAGUGGGUGCAGAGGCCCUGCGGCUGGAGCUACCUGGGGUGUUCCAGGGAAACAAGACCAGCGGGAUGGAUAAAGCCAGGGAGAGGGGAGAAAAGGACCUGGUCGGGUAGAACUCUCUAGGCUCCCGAACAGCCCUCUCCAGCCCCCAAAUCCUCUGAAUUCGAGGUCUUCCUUUCUCUGAAUCUCAGUGUCCUCAUCAUUAUAAUGGCCCUCGGCAGGCAUGCAGCUCGGUGCCCAGCAGAACACGAGAGCUGGUCCUUCCCUGCCUGGCUUGGUCCCACGUGGAGAGCCAGCUCUUUCCAGGAUGGAGGCAGGAGGGGAGCCUGGCAGGUUCGCUGUGUCCUUGUCCCAGGAAGAACAAGCCUCCCUUGUUAGAGUCCCCGUGGGACAAAGGGGCAGGCGGCCAUGGAGGCGCGUGAGUCUGAAUCAGGGGGCUGGCGGCCGGACAAAGGACAAUUGUGAGGGCCCUGGGGAGGUGGGAAGUGACAGAUCACAGGCUGGGAGGGCAGACGGAAGCUGACAAUGGAUGGGUGGCAUCCCAGAGAACACCUGGCCUGCUGCCGCUCCCCCCGACCCCCGGUGCGGGGAGAGAACAACAGGCCAUCCAAUAACCCAGCUUCCUGGGGGUGCAGACCCACCUUCAGCCCCCACGGGGAUUUAGAGGAGCGUGGGGGGCCUUGGCUCAGUGCAGCAAUGUUGACGACAGCUCCCUCAACCCACUUCUUUAUUGGGUAUCUGCACCUGCUGUUCCAGGCCAGUGGUGUCCUAGAGCACGUGUCCCGGACCGACAUGCACGACGACUGGGCUCCCUCUUCUGGGUUGAGGUCAAAUCCGUCCUUCAGGAGAUACAAGUCAAAGCCAUUCUUGACUCCUCCCUUUCUCUUUGCCUGACCACUCCCCUCUGCUCCAAACCCUCUGGGGUUCCUACCUCCCUCUGGGUAACAGUCACGGCGUCCCUGCGCCCACAGGACCCUGCCCUCACCUCUCUCUCCCUGCUCACUCUGCUCCAGCCACACAGGCCUCCUCCCUGUUCUCCAACACACCUGGCACAACCCUGCCCCAGGGCCUUUGCCCCUGCUCCACCUAAAAUGCUGUCAACAACAUUAUUUUGCAGUUGCCCCAAAUGGAAACGAAGAAGCUCAUCAAAUAAAGUGUGGUAUCUGCACACAAUGGAAUGUCCCACCCAGCACUGUGGGUCUAGGACCACACCCAACAGCAGGACGACUCACACGAGGCUGGGGAAAGAGACAUCAAGAAUGCAGUGCACAGUUUGAAAGGAGAGGCCAACAGCCCUGGUUUAGAAGUCAGAAUGGUGGUUACGGGUGGAGGGAAGGAGACAGCUGGUAUGCGGGGCUUCUGGGGGCUGGGAGCCGUUGGGGGGGGGGUCUCAGUGCUGCUACAUGGCCAUAAUGGGUGUGUAACUGCUCUGCGGGGGUUCUGCCACGUGAAGA